UGAGGAAUAUUGGUCAAUGGGCGAGAGCCUGAACCAGCCAAGUAGCGUGCAGGAUGACGGCCCUAUGGGUUGUAAACUGCUUUUAUGUGGGGAUAAAGUGCGUGACGUGUCAUGCAUUGCAGGUACCACAUGAAUAAGGACCGGCUAAUUCCGUGCCAGCAGCCGCGGUAAUACGGAAGGUCCGGGCGUUAUCCGGAUUUAUUGGGUUUAAAGGGAGCGUAGGCUGUCUAUUAAGCGUGUUGUGAAAUUUACCGGCUCAACCGGUGGCUUGCAGCGCGAACUGGUCGACUUGAGUAUGCAGGAAGUAGGCGGAAUUCAUGGUGUAGCGGUGAAAUGCUAGAUAUCAUGACGAACUCCGAUUGCGCAGGCAGCUUACUGUAGCAUAACUGACGCUGAUGCUCGAAAGUGCGGGUAUCAAACAGG
Molecule: ribosomal RNA, 423 nt
Filed under: Fusobacteriota bacterium
Lineage: Bacteria; Fusobacteriati; Fusobacteriota
Description: Fusobacteria bacterium partial 16S ribosomal RNA
Rfam family: Bacterial small subunit ribosomal RNA
Source: RNAcentral